CCUACGGGGGGCAGCAGUAGGGAAUCUUCCACAAUGGACGAAAGUCUGAUGGAGCAACGCCGCGUGAGUGAAGACGGGUUUCGGCUCGUAAAGCUCUGUUGAUAGUGAAGAAAGAUGGAGGUAGUAACUGGCCUUUAUUUGACGGUAAUUACUUAGAAAGUCACGGCUAACUACGUGCCAGCCGCCGCGGUAAUGAGUAGGUGGCAAGCGUUGUCCGGAUUUAUUGGGCGUAAAGGGAGUGCAGGCGGUUCAAUAAGUCUGAUGUGAAAGCCUUCGGCUCAACCGGAGAAUUGCAUCAGAAACUGGUGAACUUGAGUGCAGAAGAGGAGAGUGGAACUCGAGGUGUAGCGGUGGAAUGCGUAGAUAUAUGGAAGAACACCAGUGGCGAAGGCGACUCUCUGGUCUGCAACUGACGCUGAGGCUCGAAAGUAUGGGUAGCGAACAGGAUUAGAUACCCGGGUAGUC
This 465-nucleotide ribosomal RNA is filed under the name uncultured bacterium. RNAcentral's name for it is "partial 16S ribosomal RNA". It matches the Rfam family "Bacterial small subunit ribosomal RNA", at positions 338 to 795 of the family's 1533-position model. The record is from RNAcentral.